GACGAACGCUGGCGGCGUGCCUAAUACAUGCAAGUCGAACGCUGAAGAGAGGAGCUUGCUCUUCUUGGAUGAGUUGCGAACGGGUGAGUAACGCGUAGGUAACCUGCCUUGUAGCGGAGGAUAACUAUUGGAAACGAUAGCUAAUACCGCAUAACAAUGGAUGACACAUGUCGUUUAUUUGAAAGGGGCAAUUGCUCCACUACAAGAUGGACCUGCGUUGUAUUAGCUAGUAGGUGAGGUAAUGGCUCACCUAGGCGACGAUACAUAGCCGACCUGAGAGGGUGAUCGGCCAAACUGGGACUGGGAAACGGCCCCAACUCCUACGGGAGGCAGCAGUAGGGAAUCUUCGGAAAUGGGGGCAACCCUGACCGAGCAAAGCCGCGUGAGUGAAGAAGGUUUUCGGAUCGUAAAGCUCUGUUGUAAGUCAAGAACGGGUGUGAGAGUGGAAAGUUCACACUGUGACGGUAGCUUACCAGAAAGGGACGGCUAACUACGUG
This 497-nucleotide ribosomal RNA is filed under the name uncultured bacterium. RNAcentral describes it as "partial 16S ribosomal RNA". It matches the Rfam family "Bacterial small subunit ribosomal RNA", at positions 28 to 507 of the family's 1533-position model. The record is from RNAcentral.